This 434-nucleotide unclassified non-coding RNA is filed under the name Utricularia monanthos. RNAcentral's name for it is "partial external transcribed spacer". The stretch from base 384 to 434 matches the Rfam family "Eukaryotic small subunit ribosomal RNA", at positions 1 to 51 of the family's 1831-position model. Lineage: Eukaryota; Viridiplantae; Streptophyta; Magnoliopsida; Lamiales; Lentibulariaceae. The record is from RNAcentral.
CUAUGCUCGGAGGUAUUCGAAUCCCCCGGUCGGAUGUUGUUGCUUGUGCCUCGUACCUCAGUGUCGGCAUCAGCAUUGUCCCAAAGAACGGCCAGUUGUCCCAGUUUUCGUGUCUCGGUGCUCAUGUGUCCCUGUCACGGGGCUGGCUUGGAAACAUCGAUAGCGCCCGCUCAUCUACUACUAACGUUGUCGCGGGCGUGGCGUUAUCGAUGUUCGAUCUCUCGUGCGCGGAAUGCCCAUCGGCGCGGUGGUUCACCGAACCCCGCUAAAUAGACCCUCGAUGAAAAGUCGUCCGAUGCAAUCUUGAGCGACCAUCGUGCCUGCGAAUGUGUUUGCCGCCGAGAAGGCGCAGCGCAUGCAGUGCCGAUGUCGUACGGGAACGCUACCUGGUUGAUCCUGCCAGUAGUCAUAUGCUUGUCUCAAAGAUUAAGCCA